CUCUCCGCCCGCUCGACUUCUGGCUUGGUCGCCGCUCAUUUUCCCUCCGCAGUCCCGCUGCCGCGGCGGGCGGGAUGGGAAGCGGGCACGCCGCCUAAGCUUUCUCCCGCUCGGGGCUGCCUUCUCUUUCUCUCCUGAAGAGGACGAGCGCCCGCGCUACCCGACAAGGAGCUCAGCAUGCUCUCCUCCUCCUCCUCCUGCAGCCUCCGCGCCUCCUGCUCCUAGCCGAGUCGCAACCUCGCCUCGGCCCUGGCCCCACCGAGCUCCAUGGUGGUUGAGGGGCAGCGCUCUCCUGCGGUGCGGGGCGGCGGCGGCGGCGAAGGAACGAAGAGGAGGAGGAGAAGAAGAAGAAGAAGAAGAAGGGAAUGGCCGCCCAGGGUGACAGCUGCAGCGUCAAGGUGGCCGUGAGGAUUCGUCCUCAGAUGCCAAAGGAAAAGAUUGAAGGAUGCCACAUCUGCACAUCAGUGACACCUGGGGAACCCCAAGUACUCCUGGGAAAGGACAAAGCAUUUACCUAUGACUUUGUCUUUGACCUGGAUACUUGGCAGGAACAGAUCUAUACAACUUGUGUAGGCAAGCUGAUUGAGGGCUGCUUUGAAGGCUACAAUGCAACUGUGUUGGCAUAUGGCCAGACUGGUGCAGGCAAGACUUAUACCAUGGGUACUGGUUUUGACAUGAACACUUCUGAAGAGCAGCAGGGCAUAAUUCCACGGGCCAUUGCCCAUCUCUUCAAUGGCAUACACGCACAUAAGCAGGCUGCACAAGAUCAGGGGGUCCCCAUCCCAGAGUUCAAAGUCAGUGCACAGUUUUUGGAGCUAUAUAAUGAGGAGAUCCUGGAUCUUUUUGAUAGCACAAGAGACCCUGAGAAUCGCCACCGAAAAUCAAACAUCAAAAUCCAUGAAGAUGCCAGUGGUGGUAUCUAUACCACAGGUGUUACAUCACGUCUCAUUAGCUCACAGGAUGAGCUGAUCCAGUGCCUGAAACAGGGAGCUCUCUCCCGAACCACAGCCAGCACCCAGAUGAACGUCCAAAGUUCCCGCUCCCACGCUAUCUUUACAAUCUAUCUUUGCCAAAUGCGUGUCUGCUCUCCUGUACAUUUGGUGAAUGGAGACACAAAUAGUCUCCUGGAUGGAUCCCAGCCUACCAGUGAAUAUGAGACCCGAACAGCCAAAUUCCACUUUGUUGAUCUGGCUGGCUCAGAGAGGUUGAAACGAACUGGGGCCACAGGCGAGAGAGCUAAAGAAGGCAUCUCUAUCAAUUGUGGUUUGCUAGCAUUAGGAAACGUCAUCAGUGCCCUUGGGGAUCAGAGCAAGAAAGCAUUGCACGUGCCCUACCGAGAUUCAAAGUUGACCCGGCUUCUCCAAGAUUCACUUGGUGGAAAUAGUCAAACUGUGAUGAUUGCCUGUGUGAGUCCUUCAGAUCGGGAUUUUAUGGAGACCCUGAAUACCCUUAAAUAUGCCAAUCGUGCUCGCAACAUCAAGAACAAAGUGGUGGUGAAUCAGGACAAGACCAGUCAGCAGAUCAGUGCCCUGAGAGCUGAAAUUGCUCGUCUCCAGAUGGAACUUAUGGAAUAUAAGGCAGGUAAGCGUGUUAUUGGAGAAGAUGGCUCUGAAGGCUACAGUGACCUCUACCAGGAGAACGCCAUGUUGCAGAAGGAGAACACCACUUUACGAAUGCGGGUGAAAGCCAUGCAGGAGGCCAUUGAUGCAAUCAACAUCCGUGUCACCCAUUUGAUGAGCCAGGAAGCCAACCUGAUUCUUGCCAAGGCAGGUGAUGGUAAUGAGGCUAUUGGUGCUCUGAUUCAGAACUACAUCAGGGAAAUUGAAGAUCUCAGGACAAAACUCUUAGAGAGUGAAGCUAUGAAUGAAUCACUACGCCGCAAUCUGAACCGGGUUUCAACCAGGCUGCCCUAUUCCCUGGGUUUAUCACCAGGAAUUGGAUUGGGAGAUUCACGUUCCCCUGCCACCUCAGUGGAAGCUGAAGCCACUGACGUUCUACAGUGGGCCAAGCAAGAUGUUGAGAGGCUGAAGAAGGAGACAAAACUGCGAAGAAAAAGCCCAGAGAAAGAAGGGUUUAAAAAGCGGUUGAGGUUGCAGCAGGGAAACGAGGCAGAUGAGAAUGAUGAGAAUGAGGCAGAAGAGGAGGAAAGGGAUGAAAGUGGCUGUGAGGAAGAAGGCGGCCAGGAUGAAGAAGAUGAAGAAGAUUCAGGGAGUGAAGAAAGUCUGGUGGAUUCUGAUUCAGAUGUCGAAGAAAAGGCAGCAAAUUUCCAAGCUGAUCUGGCUGACUUGACCUGUGAGAUUGAGAUCAAACAGAAAUUAAUUGAUGAACUGGAGAACAGCCAACGGCGCCUACAAACCUUGAAGCACCAAUAUGAGGAAAAGUUAAUUUUGCUGCAGAACAAGAUCCGUGACACUCAGCUGGAGAGAGACAGGGUGCUGCAGAAUCUCAGUAGUAUGGAAUGUUAUACAGAAGAGAAGGCUAACAAAAUUAAAGCAGAUUAUGAGAAACGUUUAAGGGAGAUGAAUCGUGACCUGCAGAAGUUGCAGGCUGCCCAGAAGGAGCACGCUCGCCUUCUCAAGAACCAGUCUCGAUAUGAGAGAGAGCUGAAGAAGCUGCAGGCAGAAGUAGCAGAGAUGAAGAAAGCAAAGGUAGCACUGAUGAAACAAAUGCGUGAAGAGCAACAAAGACGGCGAAUGGUGGAGACCAAGAGGAACCGUGAGAUUGCCCAGUUGAAGAAAGAGCAACGUAGGCAAGAGUAUCAGAUCCGAACUCUGGAAUCUCAGAAGCGACAGCAGGAGAUCGUCUUGCGCAGGAAAACCCAAGAGGUCUCUGCUUUGCGUCGUCUAGCCAAACCUAUGACUGAUAGGGUUGCUGGGAGGAUUAACCAGAAACAAACCAUGGGAGAACCCGGUGCUGAAGUCUCCACCAGCACUACCACCUCCUUAGAGUCAGAAUCUGGUUCUCGUUCUGUCUCUAGCAUUGUACGCCAAUGGAAUAGAAAAACCAAUGCUUUGCUGGGAGAUUCUCCUUCCUCCUCAAAUGGAACUCGGACAAUCAGGAAAAGAUUCCCAAAGAAAGGUGCAAAUCAGACUUUUAGUAAGGCAGCCCGCCUGAAGUGGCAGUCACUGGAACGCCGUGUCUUUGAUAUUGUCAUGCAAAGAAUGACUGUCAUCAAUCUGGAAUCAGAUAUGGAGCGUCUUAUCAAGAAACGUGAGGAGUUGUCACUGAUGCAGGAAGGACUACUAGGAAAGAGGGGGAAACUACAGGCUGAGAACCCAGAAGAACAGAAGGGAUUGCAGGAAUUGAAUGAGGAGAUUGAAGUGUUGGCUGCCAAUCUUGACUACAUAAAUGACGGUAUUUCUGACUGCCAGGCCACCAUUAUGCAGAUUGAAGAGACCAAGGAAGAAUUGGAUUCUACAGAUACCUCUGUGGUGAUCAGCUCCUGCUCUUUGGCUGAAGCACGACUUUUAUUGGACAAUUUUCUCAAAGCAUCCAUAGACAAGAGCCUGCAGGUAGCCCAGAAGGAAGCUCAGAUCCGCUUACUGGAGGGACGUCUCAGACAAACAGAUGUGACUGGCUCCUCUCAGAACCAUCAUAUUCUGGAUGCCCUACGAGAAAAAGCAGAAUCCCACCCUGAAUUGCAGGCACUCAUUCAUAAUGUGCAGCAAGAAAAUGGCUAUGCCAGCACUGAUGAGGAAGUCUCAGAAUUCAGUUUGGCUUCAGAGGGAAGCUUUUCCCAGUCUUUCUUCAUGAAAGGUUCUGCUAGUCAGGAUGACUUCAAGUGCAGGGGAGAGCCUAAACUGUCUGGUCAGAUGAAAGCUGUAUCUGCAGAGUGCCUAGGGCCCACAUUGGACAUCUCCACUAAGAACAUCACUAAGUCAUUAGCAUCUCUCAUGGAAAUCAAAGAGGACAGUGUUGGAUUCUCUAUCCAUGAUCCUUAUUAUAAGGAGAAAGUCUCCCGUACCAUCAGCCUGCCUAUCCGAGGGAGCACAUUCCCUCGACAGUCCCGAGUCACAGACACUUCACCCCUUACAAGGAGGAAGUCAUAUGACAGGGGCCAGUCUAUCAGAAAUCCAGAUGUUGGAUUCACUCCUCCCUCAUCCCCUCCCAGCAGACCACGCAAUGACCGCAAUGUCUUCUCUCGGCUCACUAGCAACCAGAGCCAGGGCUCUGCAUUAGACAAGUCUGAUGACAGUGAUUCCUCUAUCUCGGAGGUGUUGAGGGGGAUCAUUAAUCCUGUGGGAGGUUCCAGGAGUGCCCGGACAGCACCACUGCAAUGCAUUUCUGUGGCUGAAGGACACACCAAGCCAGUAUUGUGCUUAGAUGCUACUGAUGAAUUGUUAUUUUCUGGAUCCAAAGAUCGGAGUUGCAAAAUGUGGAACUUAGUGACAGGACAGGAAAUUGCAUCUUUGAAAGGUCAUCCAAAUAACGUAGUCUCCAUAAAAUACUGCAGUGACUCUGGCUUGGUAUUCACAGUUUCUACCUCUUACAUCAAAGUAUGGGAUAUCCGUGAUUCUGCAAAGUGCAUCCGUACUCUCACCUCCUCAGGCCAGGUGAUCACUGGAGAUGCCUGUGCUGGGACCACUACCCGGACUAUCACCAGUGUGCAAGGCGAACACCAGAUCAAUCAGAUUGCACUUAAUCCCACAGGCACCAUGCUUUACGCAGCCACUGGCAAUUUUGUCCGCAUUUGGGAGUUGAACAGGUUUCAGCCUAUUGGAAAGCUGACAGGUCACAUUGGCCCUGUGAUGUGUCUCACAGUGAAUAGGACUGCAAGCAAUCAUGACUUAGUAGUCACAGGAUCUAAGGAUCACUACAUUAAGAUGUUUGAGAUUGCUGAAGGUAUCGGUGGGAACAUUGGACCUUCCCACAACUUUGAGCCUCCACAUUAUGAUGGGAUUGAGUGCCUAGCUAUUCAGGGAGACAUACUCUUCAGUGGUUCCCGUGACAAUGGGAUCAAGAAAUGGGACUUGGAUCAACAAGAACUCAUUCAGCAAAUCCCUGCACAUAAAGAUUGGGUUUGUGCUUUGGCCUUUGUGCCCAGCCGGCCGAUGCUGCUGAGUGCCUGCCGUGGUGGGACAGUGAAGGUCUGGAAUGUUGACAACUUCACACCUGUUGGGGACAUCAAGGGGCAUGAUAGUCCUAUCAAUGCCAUCUGCACAAAUUCAAAGCACAUUUUCACAGCUUCCAGUGACUGUCGGGUAAAGUUAUGGAAUUACGUGCCUGGGCUCACCCCCUGCCUUCCACGACGCGUCCUUGCCAUCAAGGGCCGUGCCACCAGUCUGCCUUGAUCUUCCUCCUUCUUCUCUACUCUCCUGCUUACUUUUUCUUGCUGUGUUCUCCCUCCCUGCCUCUCUUUGUCUUCCCUGUCCCUCUCUCUGGGAGCUGAUUUCAGCUGCUUCUUGACGUGACUGCACAGUGAAGCUCUGGAGUGCGAGGAAGCUACUGAACAGCACAAACUAGAAGUUGAGAAAAAACAGCUAUGAUCUUAAGAAGACUAAGAUGGAGCUUGGCUAGGAAGUAGCAUUUAAUCUCUCACACCCAGGGCUUCAGGAUGAGAUGGGUGCCUGGUUUUCUGACAAGUACAUGGGUUGGAGAGGGCAAAGGAAGUCUCCUUUUCCGUUUACAUGUUCAAGUCUCCUUCUCUGUCAGAUGUCUAUGGUGGCAGCCAUGGUAAAACAGAGCCAAAAAAGAAGACAAAAUUAGGUGCCGAGGUUCUUUCAGCCAGAAUCCAUCUGACAAGUCUACAAAAUAGGGUGUUUUGAAAAAAAGGAGUCAAAAUAUUUUAUAAAUCAGAAUUAGAUUUUUCAUCCUUGUAUAAUUAAACGAGGCUUUCCCAUGGUUUCCAGUUCUCCAGGAACUGCCUAUAUCCUGAUUAUGCCCAUAAGACGUUACAGUGAAAAUAAUUAGAGAGAAAAUCAAGGGUUACCAGUUGAUGGUUUUGUUUUAGGGCAGGGGUCUCCAACCUUGACAACUGUCCGCCAGGCUUAACAUUGCCAAGGUUGGAGACCCCUGUUUUAGGGGGUAUUCCUUGUUCUAGUUGGUCUUUCAAGAGGAUUUAUGAAGUACUGACUUUUAUUUCUUACGUUUAUCUGUGAAUUGCUAUUUGUUUUCUUUUUGAAAGGGGGAAGGAUUGGAGGAGAAUGCAAGAAAAUGAGCCACUUUAAUUUGAGCACAUAAUGUAGUGAUUCUCAGUGGUCAGUAUAGAUUCAGAAUUGGCCAGAGGUUUUCUAUUUCAUUUGCCAAAUACUCUUGAAGUUGAUUUUCCCAGAUUCCUGGAAUGACAGUAUUAAAAGAAAAAAGACAACUAACAAUUGUAUGAUACAGAGCGAUAUAUUUAGUAACUGAUUUGAUGAACUUUGAGAACUUCAGAAGGGUUGUUGUUUCCUGAAUACCAGUUAUAAAGCUGGAUGUUUUUUUUCUAAAUGUUAGAUAAGCAACAAGAAAGAGAGACCUAAACUGAUUAAAUACAUUUGGGAUUCUCCUUCAUGCCAUCAUUUGGCAAUUCCAGCAAAGAAGUAACCUGGACAUGCCACUUUCUCUUCCCAUUCUCAAAUUAUUAUAUUUCGGUAACAAAAUGGCAGCGACUGCAGAAAUCAACUGUCCCCUAUCACUGGAAAAAGGACAUUUUUCCUCCUCCUUUGUCUGGGAACAGAAAAAAUGUGGAACCUUCCCUUCCAGCUUUCAAACAGGGUAAGGAAGAUUUGAAAUGCUAAGCACAAGGGUGUUGCAAUGCAUUCCUGUAUUACUGGGGAGAUAAUGAGCCUGCCCCUCUUAAUCUCACCCCCAGCAUCUUUUUGGUUGUUGUUGUUUACAUCUUUUUCAAACAUUCACAUUUCCAUGUCACAAUAAGGAGCAAACUGAUAAAAGUUGAUGCUCUGUGUUUAGAAACUUGAAUUUUUCACAGGAUAUUGUUCACUGCACUUGAUUUUUAGCAGCAAACAUUGGCUUAAGCCCUCGAAGAUCCAUCACUGCGUAGAAGCUUUCAUCUGUGUGCAAUGUAGCAGGGCUGUCCAAGCCUCUCUGAAGGAUUGAUCAAGCACUCUUCACAUUGUUAUAGGAUUCAUCCUUAAAACUUUUAACUUGUGUUGUACUCUUCCAUCAGAGGACCGAGGAUUUAAACUGAUCACUCAGCAGCAGACUUGGGAAAGCCAUUCGCUAGUAGGGAAAUAUGGACCAGCAGGUUAAAGCAAUUUGCUUUCUGGAUGCUUUGGAUCUUUCUACAGCUCUGCUUUUAGUUUGUAGGAGUCUUUGCUCUACUGCCCCGGAUUAGGUUGGAAUUCUGUCCAUUCAUUUGUGUUAUGAAAAUCCCUUUCUCUACACUUAAGCUGCUGAUUCUUCCAUCCAAGUGGAAAGUUGCAUUGUAAUUCUAAAUAGGUGUUCAAAUGAUUCUGUGUUUUGUCUUGUGCAAUUGGGGGUAAGGGGAGGGGGGGGUAGCAAAGAGAGGUGUGUGACUGCGAUUUUAAGAGGGUGAGAGCUUGUUUUGAGUUAACCUACCUCAUGGUUCAAGGUGUUUUCUCAUUUUGUUGUGUUUUUUUUUUUUGUUGUUGUUAAUAGAACUUGAAUUGAUCUGGGAAACACACAGUUUCACUGGUCCCAAUUUCUAAGCUCAAGAGGAGAGUAUGAUGAAAGGAAGCUGGCCUCUGUGUAAUCUCAGAGGGAGCUUUUACAUAUUAAGGCUGCACUGUGUUUACUGCAUCUUGGUGUCUUUUGCAGCCUUAUUUUAACUCAGCACUCUAAACUGAGUGGGGAGGUGGGUCAUACGAUUCCAAGAUUGGAAGAAGAUAAUCUUCCAGAAAAUCAGCACAAUCUUUAUUUCUGCACAUGGAACCCAAAUUGUUUUUUUUAUUGUUUUUUGGUUUUUUUUUGCUAUUUACUGAAGUUUGUGAUCCCCUUUGAAUGUUUUUGCCUGCAGAAAUCUUUGAAUAGAUUGUGAAUUAGCUCAGCAUUCUCCAUUGACUUAUGUUAUUUGUUUAGAACGAAGAAUAUGAAGCAUACAAAAGUUAAUAUUCAGUAUUUGUGUAAAUCUAUCUGCCAGGGGAUACUUUUUAUAGGUUAAAUAAAGGAUUGUGUGAUUUGUGGUCCUCCAGAAGUUCAGCUUCCAUCUUUCCUCACUUGGCCAGUUCAGAUUCAAGAAAAGUUAGUGGAAGCCACACAUUCCUUCUUAAAUUACUGCCCAUAUUUGCCAUAGAGUUCUGGGUGGCUCUUUCUUUCUUAUCCUUUGGCACCGGGUUAUUCUCCAUUUUUUGGGGAGGGGAGGGUGAACCUUGCCUCUUUUAAUACUUCUGAUCCCAUGGAUGUAGUAGAAGGGGAAUUAAGCUGAUUUAUUGGGUUUAAUAAGUAUAAUUUACCCUACUGUUGAUUGUACUUGAAGCACAUAAUUGAGAGGAUACAAAAUAAGCAACAAUGGACAUUUCAUCUCUCUCAUAAUUUUCAAAAACUGAACAACAGGUUACCGUAAUAAGACUAAUGAGACUAAUAAUGGUUUUGCAGCUCUGCAAGGAUGUUUUAGAACAUGUUAUCAUGCUGUCCCUAAGGCUAAACUCUCAGUUUAAGAAGCCUACUGAUUGUGUACUAAUGUACACCAGCCACCUCAGUCUAGGGUUGGGACGAUUGUUUUAGUUGCAGUCCCAGCAUUACCUGGAUGUGACCAGGUUGAAAUUUUGUUUCAAACAACAGGUGCCUUUCCUUAUCCUGAAAGGUCGGGUUUUUUACCCAUAGAAAACACUGGUGCUUGUCUGGGGCUUCUGUGAGGGCUGUGUCAUCUGGCAAAAUGGUAUUAAGUGUGAAUGUGUGUGUGUCUGUGUGUGCGUGUGUGCAUGUAAGGAUACAAUGUAUGUAAUAUUUUAUACCUCUGUGUAAAUAAUGUAAGUUAUUUAAAGUUUCUGAUGUACAUGGUUUUCCAAUGAAUGUUUUUGUUCCUCCUGGUAAUAAAUUUAUUCAACUGAAA
This is a non-coding RNA of Pantherophis guttatus, 8950 nucleotides long. The record is from RefSeq and is a predicted model, not a curated record. NCBI's taxonomy places the organism in Eukaryota, Metazoa, Chordata, Lepidosauria, Squamata, Colubridae.